UACGUAGGGGGCAAGCGUUGUCCGGAAUCAUUGGGCGUAAAGCGCGUGUAGGCGGCUUGAUAAGUCUGCUCUGAAAGCCCGGGGCUCAACCCCGGGAGGCGGGUGGAUACUGUCAAGCUCGAGUCCGGAAGAGGAGUGUGGAAUUCCUGGUGUAGCGGUGAAAUGCGCAGAUAUCAGGAGGAACACCAGUGGCGAAGGCAGGCACUCGUCG
RNAcentral lists this ribosomal RNA (211 nucleotides) under uncultured bacterium. Its description in RNAcentral is "partial 16S ribosomal RNA". It matches the Rfam family "Bacterial small subunit ribosomal RNA", at positions 524 to 735 of the family's 1533-position model. The record is from RNAcentral.